Long non-coding RNA from Dermacentor silvarum, 834 nucleotides. RefSeq lists it as uncharacterized. Lineage: Eukaryota; Metazoa; Arthropoda; Arachnida; Ixodida; Ixodidae. The record is from RefSeq and is a predicted model, not a curated record. The transcript has 3 exons.
UUGCACCCAAAUGAAUCACAAUAUGCACACAGGCCCAAUAAACAAGAGGAGGCAUACAGGAAAUUUGCUGACUAAUGGAGUUCAGCAUAAUGCCACAAUUGUGCUAUGCUUUAAUUGCAUUUUUUCACUACACAGGUAUAUACAAUUUGAUGUGAGUGGGUUCAACUGUAUUUAGUUCUUAGGGCAAAAUGCUCCCACACAGUGUCCCACACAGCUAAGGUACAGUGCUAAAGCAUUAAACUUUGCUCAGGAAGCAUGAUGGCACACUAUUUAUUUUGAUAUAAUGCAACCACUUUUGCAGAGAGACAGCCUGCAGCUGCAGUGUUUACCCCAUGGGUAAACAGCGCAAGUCAACCACCAGCAGGCUUGUUUGAAGUCACGAAUGGCCAGGUAAAAGUUGGGGAAGGCAUGUUCAUGCCCCUCGACAAGUGGACAUUUAUAAUGAAGAACGUGUCCGAUGGCAAGUGUUGUUUGGAACUUGCGAAACAUUUUUGGGCACCCACUGAGGCUGCCACACGCAGCCUAACAGGCCAGGCUUGCCGCAGCAUGGCCACUGAGGUUAAGAAGCUUCCGGCGACACCAGAAAAGGUGGAAAUGGUGAAGAACUGCCUGGCAAAGUACAUCGACUUGCACCCAGCGCUACAGCCACCUAGGGACCAUCGCGUCGCAGCAGUAAGAAAAUACUUGAGGACUUUUUUUACUGAGGCUGCACGCCAAGGAAAGAGGGUGCGGAAAGCACCGAAGUGUGGUCAAGUGAAUAAAUAAAUGAUAUCACUAAGCCAGGGUGUUACGCCACUUAUUGCGAGCAUGGUAUUACAGUGCCUGUUUGGCCUA